AGCUCCAAUAGCGUAUAUUAAAAUUGUUGCAGUUAAAAAGCUCGUAGUUGGAUCUGCGGUUAGGGCUUGCGGUCCACCACGCGGUGGCACUGCUCGUCCCGACCUACAUCGAAUUGACCCGCGUUGCUCUUCACUGAGUGACCGGGAAGGCUCGAACGUUUACUUUGAAAAAAUUAGAGUGUUCAAAGCAGGCAUUCAUCGUGCCCGAAUACAUGAGCAUGGAAUAAUGGAACAGGACUACGGUCACUGCACUUUUUCCGUUGGUUUCGGAGGACCGAAGUAAUGAUUAAGAGGGACAGUUGGGGGCAUCCGUAUUUCGUAGUCAGAGGUGAAAUUCUUGGAUCUGCGAAAGACGAACGAGUGCGAAAGCAUUUGCCAAGAGUGUUUUCAUUAAUCAAGA
Molecule: ribosomal RNA, 400 nt
Filed under: phytoplankton environmental sample
Lineage: Eukaryota
Description: partial small subunit ribosomal RNA
Rfam family: Eukaryotic small subunit ribosomal RNA
Source: RNAcentral